RNAcentral lists this transfer RNA (77 nucleotides) under Bacillus cereus. RNAcentral describes it as "tRNA-Arg". It matches the Rfam family "tRNA". From Rfam's summary of the family: Transfer RNA (tRNA) molecules are approximately 80 nucleotides in length. Lineage: Bacteria; Bacillati; Bacillota; Bacilli; Caryophanales; Bacillaceae. The record is from RNAcentral.
GCGCCCGUAGCUCAAUUGGAUAGAGCGUUUGACUACGGAUCAAGAGGUUAGGGGUUAGACUCCUCUCGGGCGCGCCA